GGCGGGGGAAGAAAAAAGAAGCUGUGAACAAGAAGAACUUGAAAAUACAGUAAAUAAAAAACAGUUGCAAGACGAGGAGGAUGAAGAAUUAAAAGCUGAUAAAGGAAAGAAACGAAAACUGAGCAAGGAAGACAAGAAAAAUGCCAAGGAAAAAAAGGUUAAAGUUACAGCGAGGAAAAAGCCAGGUUUUGACGUAGAAUUGUAUAAUGAAACGUCUUACUUCGUUAGAAACGAACAUGGCCAUGAAGAAAUAAUGAAGAAGAGCGGCUACUAAAACACAUACAGCCUGUAGACAAAUUAUUGUACAUUAUGUACAUGUCAAGAAUUUAUCCCAGACCAUAAAAAAACAUACAUCCAAUCAGAAUGCAGUAGAGACAAAGAUGUCUGAUCGCUAAAAUGAAGACAGCAAGCAACAAUAUACCACAGCCAAUGUAGACAACUAGUGAAAAGACAAGCUCCUUGAAAACAAGACAAGUUCACCGGUUUAGUAUAAAUUUCUUGAUCAACUCUAACAGCAUGCAGGGUAACAAAUGAAACCAUUACAGGCUUGGAUACCUUGUCAUAUACCGCUAAUGAAGCGAAGCUAGUCAUGUGAUCACACUGACACAGGGUGCCAUUAUCACUACUAACAACCACACGGCAACCUUCUGACGACCAGCUACCUCCACGAUCAGGAUCCCUGUUCAAAUUCAUAAACCUUUAAGGACUGUAGCUCACGAUUUGCAAGAGAGGGUGGGUUGGAGCAGAUGCCAGAGAAUUUAGCCAGAUGUUGUGAAAUGUUAUAUGUACCAUAGAGAUUGCAGUCACAGAAAUCAAGCGAUUGAAAAUACCACCGUUAGGAGCAGCAGAACCAAAGGGUGAAACAACAUUAUAUAUGAUAAUAUAUAUGACUGUGUACUCACACUUCACGUAAAGAUGGAUUGUAAUUGAAAACAUCAUGAGUUUGGAAAAUGAAACAAAGCAUAUAUGUAUGUAGUCUUGCAGCAAAGAACAACAUUGGUUCUAACAUGGGAAUCAUGCCAAUUAUUAUGGUGAGUACAUUGCACACAUAGCAAUAACAGGCAUCCUACUGUAGCUAGCAAUUGUAUCCAGAUAUGUUUGUGGGUAUAAUACAUUUAACAUGCAUAUGGCAUGCACUGCUUGGGUAAUGUAAAUGAUGACUGUUGCACAGGCAAGCCAUCAGAGUUGCCUGUCUCUGAUGUUUUGCACAAGGGGUUUUUCCUGAAAAUAGGCAUCCCUCUGACUCUUAAUACAAGGAAAUUUUCUGUUGCAAUCAUUCUUGGAAUGCAACCCAAACAUCCCUUGAGAUAUAAAUAACAAUGAAACAGCCACCAUCUUGGUUGAUCUAGCGAGAGAAGCUUAAUGAGGAAUGUAUCACAACAAGUGGCAGUCAAACAAACUUUGCAAACAGAAGUGGUACCAGUUGCUAAGGUGUGACAUCAAUAAUCUGGUUACACUAAGGUUUCAAUAUUUCAAGAUCCUAAUAUAAUUUGGCRCAAAUUAUGAAGCAAAUCGUAGACAAGAAUAGCAGACUUUUUGAUUAAUCCUGCCAAACUGUGUUUAUGUCCUAGUCAGGCACAGCAUAGUCAAGGCAUUUUGAUGAUUGUAAUAUGCGAUUCUCAUGCUAUAAAGUUCAAUUUUGAUUUUAAUCAGUAUUAAAAAUAUUUUAGCAUAAAUCUGUGCCUGAGUGCUUUGGGCAUAUUGAUUAUGCUUAGCUGGUUCAUCCAGCAUGAAGUCCUGGUCAAUUUUGAUUUGUCAGAGCCUGAGUGCUUUGGGUAUAUUGAACUUAACUGUUCUCUGCGCCUAGCUGGUUCAUCCAGUAUGAAGUCCUGGUCAAUUUUGAUUUGUCAGAGCCUGAGUGCUUUGGGUAUAUUGAACUUAACUGUUCUCUAUGCUUAGCUGGUUCAUCCAGUACAAAGUCCUGGCCAAUUU
This is a long non-coding RNA of Actinia tenebrosa (Australian red waratah sea anemone), 1932 nucleotides long. The record is from RefSeq and is a predicted model, not a curated record. NCBI's taxonomy places the organism in Eukaryota, Metazoa, Cnidaria, Anthozoa, Actiniaria, Actiniidae.